RNAcentral lists this ribosomal RNA (450 nucleotides) under uncultured bacterium. RNAcentral's name for it is "bacterial SSU rRNA". It matches the Rfam family "Bacterial small subunit ribosomal RNA", at positions 32 to 507 of the family's 1533-position model. The record is from RNAcentral.
AAUCAACGCUGGCGGCGUGCCUAACACAUGCAAGUCGAACGAGAAAGGGGACUUCGGUCCCUGAGUACAGUGGCGCACGGGUGAGUAACACGUGACUAACCUGCCCUCGAGUGGGGAAUAACUUCGGGAAACCGAGGCUAAUACCGCAUAAUACCUACGGGUCAAAGGAGCAAUUCGCUUGAGGAGGGGGUCGCGGCCGAUUUGUUAGUUGGCGGGGUAAUGGCCCACCCAAGACAGUGAUCGGUAUCCGGCCUGAGAGGGCGCACGGACACACUGGAACUGAAACACGGUCCAGACUCCUACGGGAGGCAGCAGUGGGGAAUUUUGCGCAAUGGGGGAAACCCUGACGCAGCAACGCCGCGUGGAGGAUGAAGUCUCUUGGGACGUAAACUCCUUUCGAUCGGGACGAUUAUGACGGUACCGGAAGAAGAAGCCCCGGCUAACUUCGUG